UCAGGCCUAACACAUGCAAGUCGUACGAGAGUUUUUAACUCAAGUGGCGGACGGGUGAGUAACACGUAAGAAUUUGCCUUUAGGAGGGGGAUAACAACUGGAAACGAUUGCUAAUACCCCAUAUGCUUUCGAGUGAAAUGGUUUUUCCGCCUAAAGAGAAGCUUGCGGCUGAUUAGCUUGUUGGUGAGGUAAUAGCUCACCAAGGCGACGAUCAGUAUCUGGUUUGAGAGGACGAUCAGACACACUGGAACUGAGACACGGUCCAGACUCCUACGGGAGGCAGCAGUAGGGAAUUUUCCGCAAUGGGCGAAAGCCUGACGGAGCAAUACCGCGUGAGGGAUGACGGCCUAUGGGUUGUAAACCUCUUUUUUCAGGGAGGAAUAAAUGACGUGUACCUGAAGAAUAAGCAUCGGCUAACUCCGUGCCAGCAGCCGCGGUAAGACGGAGGAUGCAAGUGUUAUCCGGAAUCACUGGGCGUAAAGCGUCUGUAGGUGGUCAAAUAAGUCAACUGUUAAAUCUUGAGGCUCAACCUCAAAACCGCAGUCGAAACUAUUAGACUAGAGUAUAGUAGGGGUAAAGGGAAUUUCCAGUGGAGCGGUGAAAUGCGUAGAGAUUGGAAGGAACACCGAUGGCGAAGGCACUUUACUGGGCUAUUACUAACACUCAGAGACGAAAGCUAGGGUAGCAAAUGGGAUUAGAU
RNAcentral lists this ribosomal RNA (700 nucleotides) under uncultured bacterium. RNAcentral's name for it is "bacterial SSU rRNA". It matches the Rfam family "Bacterial small subunit ribosomal RNA", at positions 42 to 783 of the family's 1533-position model. The record is from RNAcentral.